UGUGUCCUACGGGAGGCAGCAGUGGGGAAUAUUGCGCAAUGGGCGAAAGCCUGACGCAGCGACGCCGCGUGAGGGAUGAAGGUCUUCGGAUCGUAAACCUCUGUCAGGAGGGAAGAAGUGGUUAUAUGCGAAUAGUGUAUGACUUUGAAGGUACCUCCAAAGGAAGCACCGGCUAACUCCGUGCCAGCAGCCGCGGUAAUACGGAGGGUGCGAGCGUUAAUCGGAAUCACUGGGCGUAAAGCGCGCGU
This 248-nucleotide ribosomal RNA is filed under the name uncultured bacterium. Its description in RNAcentral is "partial 16S ribosomal RNA". It matches the Rfam family "Bacterial small subunit ribosomal RNA", at positions 333 to 572 of the family's 1533-position model. The record is from RNAcentral.